AUUCCAUGAUGUGGGCACUUUCUUUAGAACUCUUUAAAAUGUUCCCACGCAUCAUAUAAGGACUCCUCAUCCAGCUUAUGGAAAUUAUAAAAUUCUCCUCCAUAUCGGGCU
This is a small nucleolar RNA of Humulus lupulus (European hop), 111 nucleotides long. The record is from RefSeq and is a predicted model, not a curated record. Lineage: Eukaryota; Viridiplantae; Streptophyta; Magnoliopsida; Rosales; Cannabaceae.